RNAcentral lists this ribosomal RNA (254 nucleotides) under uncultured bacterium. RNAcentral describes it as "partial 16S ribosomal RNA". It matches the Rfam family "Bacterial small subunit ribosomal RNA", at positions 524 to 776 of the family's 1533-position model. The record is from RNAcentral.
UACGGGGGGAGCAAGCGUUGUUCGGAUUUACUGGGCGUAAAGGGCGCGUAGGCGGUCGUGACAAGUCACUUGUGAAAUCUCCGGGCUUAACUCGGAACGGUCAAGUGAUACUGUCGGACUAGAGUACAGAAGGGGCAACUGGAAUUCUCGGUGUAGCGGUGAAAUGCGUAGAUAUCGGGAGGAACACCAGUGGCGAAGGCGACUUCCUGGCCUGUUCUUGACGCUGAGGCGCGAAAGCUAGGGGAGCAACGGGG